Molecule: ribosomal RNA, 253 nt
Filed under: uncultured prokaryote
Description: partial 16S ribosomal RNA
Rfam family: Bacterial small subunit ribosomal RNA
Source: RNAcentral
UACGGAGGGUGCAAGCGUUAAUCGGAAUUACUGGGCGUAAAGCGCACGUAGGUGGUUUGUUAAGCCAGCUGUGAAAUCCCCGGGCUCAACCUGGGCACUGCAGUUGGAACUGGCAAGCUAGAGUAGGGUAGAGGGGUGUGGAAUUCCCGGUGUAGCGGUGAAAUGUGUAGAGAUCGGGAGGAACACCGGUGGCGAAGGCGGGUCUCUGGGCAAUUCCUGACGCUGAGGCGCGAAAGCGUGGGGAGCAAACGGG